AAUGUCCCAGUGACUUGGAAAUAUGGAAGGAUGAUAGGUCUUAGAACUCCCUCCCAGUGGCUGGUACCUGAACAUAUCUGAGUUUAUGAUGUUCUUUGUGAAUGGCAUCCUAUUUUAAGUGAACUGAGAUUUUAUCACAGAAUUAAGCUUAUUAUUUUGAGGAAUAUUUUUUGUGGCAAGAAUAAUCUUUGCCUUCAAAGCAUUCCCUGUAGAGUCAGGAACAAGACAAGGAAGCCAGCUAUCAUUGUUACUAUUUAACAUUGUACCUAAGAACUAGCCAAUGGAACUAAACAAGAGAAAUAAAUUUAGUGGUAUAAAAACUGGGAGGGUAGAUGUAAGGCUGUCACUGUUUACAAACUAUAUGAUCAUAUACCCAGAAAGCUCAAGUGAACCAAAGAAAAAAACACUACUAUAAAAAAUAAUUUCGUAAGGUAGCAGGAUAAAAAAAUUAAUAGAUACAAACAAAUGGACUUCAUCAUACAAAAAACAACCAGUUAGAAGUAAUAAGAGCAACAGAAAACCACCAGAUACCUAGGAGUAAACUCUAACAAGAGGAAAGACAUACCAUGUGCUAAGACGGGAAACACCAACAUCAUAAGAUGUCAGUAUUGUUCAGGUUAAUAUACAAAUGUAAUGUAACCCAAUAAAAAUACGAACAGAUUUUUAUUUUAUGUUGUGCUUUUACAGCUGGACUAGGUGAUUCCAAAGUAUACAGAAAAUAAAUAUGAACAGUUGAAAUUCUGGGGGGAAAAAUACAGCGAGGGAGACUAGCUCUAUUAAUAUUACAAGAAACUGAGAGACCGUCAGAGAUUAGAAGAGUAUCACAUUGGCACAUAAAUAAAUAAGCAUCCAUGAAAAAGCCCAGAAAUUUACCCCAGUAUAUUAUAAACGCAGCAUCUCAAAUAAAGGGAGGAAAAUGGACCAGUCAGCAUAUGCUGUUGGGACAGACUUACAUCUAGAUAAAUUCCAAAGAGGUCAAAGAUUUAAAUAUUGAAGGUAAAACUUAAAAGUGCCAGAAGAAAAUAUAUUUGAAUUCUCUUAUAGUCUGAGGGUGAAAAAGGCUUUUUAUUACUCUGACAUGAAAUCUCAGGACCAUAAAAGAAACGUUUGGUAAUUUCGACUAUGCUGACAUGAAAGACGUGUGCUGGCAGGGCCACCAGUCAAAAUCCAAGGACAAACCUAGGAAAAGUGAUUUGCCCUUCAUCUCCUAGAUAACAGGCUAAGUUUCUGAGUAUUCAAAGAAGUGCCCAGGCAUCAAGAAGAAAAGGCCACAAGCCAUAAAAAUAGGCAAAAUAUUUGUUACAAGUAAUCUACAGCAAGGUGAAGGUGAAGAGUUCUUCAGUGUCUGACAGGAUGCUCAACCCCACUCCCAAUAAGAGUGAUGCAGACGCAAACCAGCCUGAGAUGGAACUUGUACCUAUGAGAUCAGCACACCUGCAGGAACAGGACAAGACAUCGUUAGCAGUGCUGUGGAGAAACAGUCAGAUGGCUGGAUAGGAUGUCAUUGUGUAGUACUCCCAGGGACAGCAAAAUGGCCGUAUCUGCCACAUCCUAUAUCCUGUGACUCAGCAAUUCCGUUCUUAAGAACAUACUCUAUAAACUCUCACGUUGUGAAAUGACCUAUGUGUGAAAGUAGUUAUCACAGCACUGUUGGUAACAGUAAUGAGAUUGGAAACCUAAAUAUCCAUGAAGAAGGGGAAAGUAAAAUAAAUUGUGACCCUACAGUAGAAUAUGCAGAAUUUAAAAAGAAGGUGGGGAGGAGGUGGGGGGGAGAGGAGAGAAUAAAAAGAACAAGUAAGCUCUUCAAAAACAGAUAUGGAAAGAUUUCAAAGAUACAGAGUGGAUGGUAAAAAAAAAAAAAAGCAAGCUACAAGAAAAUACCUACAAUGAGCCACCACUUAUGUAAAACAGAAGGGGAAAAUAAGUGUUUAGCUAGUUUUGCGGGUGCAAAAGUAGUUACUAGAAGGAUGAUCCAGAAACUUAAUUUUUUUUAAUGUUUAUUUUUGAGAGAGAGAGAGCGAGUGAGCACGAGCACAAGAGGGGCAGAGAGAGAGGGAGACACAGAAUCCUAAGUAAGCUCCAGGCUUUGAGCUGUCGGCACAGAGCCCAAUGCGGGGCUCAAACUCAUAGGGUGUCAGCCAAAGUUGGAUGUUCAACCGACUGAGCCACCCAGGGACCUCUGAUUCUUUUUUAUUUUUUAAUGUUUAUUUUUGAGAGGGGGGCGGACAGAGAGGAUCCAAAGUAGGCUGUGUGCUGACAGCAGAGAGCUCGAUGAGGGGGCUCGAACCCCUGAACUACGAGAUCAUGACCUGAGCUGAAGUUAGAUGCUUAACCAACUGAACCCCCCAGUGCCUCUCAAUAAUUGUGAUUCCUGAUUGAAGAUCAGAGUGGGCAAGGUGGUGCCUGAGUAGAUGGGAUGGGAGUGAUAGAUGUAUUUGAAUGUGUACCUUUUAUACUUCGUAAGGGUUUGAACUGUGGGGAUGUAUUACAGAUUUAAGAAAAAAAUAACAUUCCUGUGGUUUAAACAAACUAAUGCCUGUGAGAAA
Molecule: long non-coding RNA, 2546 nt
Organism: Neofelis nebulosa (Clouded leopard)
Lineage: Eukaryota; Metazoa; Chordata; Mammalia; Carnivora; Felidae
Exons: 2
Source: RefSeq, a predicted model, not a curated record